AUGGCGACCGGCGCACGGGUGAGUAACGCGUAUCCAACCUGCCCUUUACUAUGGGACAGCCCGUCGAAAGGCGGAUUAAUACCGUAUGUUGUCAUGUUGAUGCAUAUUUUCAUGACCAAAGGCUUCGGCCGGUAAAGGAUGGGGAUGCGUCUGAUUAGCUUGCCGGCGGGGUAACGGCCCACCGGGGCGACGAUUAGCAGGGGUUCUGAGAGGAAGGUCCCCCACAUUGGAACUGAGACACGGUCCAAACUCCUACGGAAGGCAGCAG
RNAcentral lists this ribosomal RNA (268 nucleotides) under uncultured bacterium. RNAcentral describes it as "partial 16S ribosomal RNA". It matches the Rfam family "Bacterial small subunit ribosomal RNA", at positions 88 to 354 of the family's 1533-position model. The record is from RNAcentral.